GUAGGGUGCGAGCGUUAAUCGGAAUUACUGGGCGUAAAGCGUGCGCAGGCGGUUGUGCAAGACAGAUGUGAAAUCCCCGGGCUUAACCUGGGAAUUGCAUUUGUGACUGCACGGCUAGAGUGUGUCAGAGGGGGGUAGAAUUCCACGUGUAGCAGUGAAAUGCGUAGAUAUGUGGAGGAAUACCGAUGGCGAAGGCAGCCCCCUGGGAUAACACUGACGCUCAUGCACGAAAGCGUGGGGAGCAAACAGGAUUAGAUACCCUGGUAGUCCACGCCCUAAACGAUGUCUACUAGUUGUCGGGUCUUAAUUGACUUGGUAACGCAGCUAACGCGUGAAGUAGACCGCCUGGGGAGUACGGUCGCAAGAUUA
Molecule: ribosomal RNA, 369 nt
Filed under: uncultured bacterium
Lineage: Bacteria
Description: bacterial SSU rRNA
Rfam family: Bacterial small subunit ribosomal RNA
Source: RNAcentral